GACGAACGCUGGCGGCGUGCCUAAUACAUGCAAGUAGAACGCUGAAGCGAGGAGCUUACUCUUCUUGGAUGAGUUGCGAACGGGUGAGUAACGCGUAGGUAACCUGCCUUGUAGCGGGGGAUAACGAUUGGAAACGAUAGCUAAUACCGCAUAACAAUGGAUGACACAUGUCAUUUAUUUGAAAGGGGCAAUUGCUCCACUACAAGAUGGACCUGCGUUGUAUUAGCUAGUAGGUGAGGUAAUGGCUCACCUAGGCGACGAUACAUAGCCGACCUGAGAGGGUGAUCGGCCACACUGGGACUGAGACACGGCCCAGACUCCUACGGGAGGCAGCAGUAGGGAAUCUUCGGCAAUGGGGGCAACCCUGACCGAGCAACGCCGCGUGAGUGAAGAAGGUUUUCGGAUCGUAAAGCUCUGUUGUAAGUCAAGAACGGGUGUGAGAGUGGAAAGUUCACACUGUGACGGUAGCUGACCAGAAAGGGACGGCUAACUACGUG
RNAcentral lists this ribosomal RNA (497 nucleotides) under uncultured bacterium. RNAcentral's name for it is "partial 16S ribosomal RNA". It matches the Rfam family "Bacterial small subunit ribosomal RNA", at positions 28 to 507 of the family's 1533-position model. The record is from RNAcentral.